UACGGGGGGGGGCAAGCGUUUGUUCGGAAUUACUGGGCGUAAAGGGCUCGUAGGCGGCCAACUAAGUCCGACGUGAAAUCCCCAGGCUUAACCUGGGAACUGCGUCGGAUACUGGAUGGCUUGAAUUCGGGGAGAGGGAUGCAGAAUUCCAGGUGUAGCGGUGAAAAUGCGUAGAUAUCGGGGAGGAACACCUGUGGCGAAAAGCGGCUCACUGGGCCACAACUGACGCUGAUGCGCGAAAAGCUAGGGGGAGCAAACAGGG
Molecule: ribosomal RNA, 262 nt
Filed under: uncultured bacterium
Lineage: Bacteria
Description: partial 16S ribosomal RNA
Rfam family: Bacterial small subunit ribosomal RNA
Source: RNAcentral